UACGGAGGGUGCAAACGUUGCUCGGAAUUACUGGGCGUAAAGCGCGCGUAGGCGGACCUGCAAGUCGGGGGUGAAAGCCCGAGGCUCAACCUCGGAACUGCCUUCGAUACUGCGGGUCUCGAGUCCGGGAGAGGUGAGUGGAAUUCCUAGUGUAGAGGUGAAAUUCGUAGAUAUUAGGAAGAACACCAGUGGCGAAGGCGGCUCACUGGCCCGGUACUGACGCUGAGGCGCGAAAGCGUGGGGAGCAAACAGG
Molecule: ribosomal RNA, 253 nt
Filed under: uncultured bacterium
Lineage: Bacteria
Description: partial 16S ribosomal RNA
Rfam family: Bacterial small subunit ribosomal RNA
Source: RNAcentral